Molecule: transfer RNA, 75 nt
Filed under: Candidatus Minimicrobia vallesae
Lineage: Bacteria; Candidatus Saccharimonadota
Rfam family: tRNA
About the family: Transfer RNA (tRNA) molecules are approximately 80 nucleotides in length.
Source: Rfam by way of RNAcentral
GCCGUUUUGGCUCAGUUGGCUAGAGCAACUGGUUUUGUAAAUUGUGUGUCCUGGGUUUGAGCCUGAGAAGCGGCU